RNAcentral lists this ribosomal RNA (434 nucleotides) under uncultured Ruminococcus sp. Its description in RNAcentral is "partial 16S ribosomal RNA". It matches the Rfam family "Bacterial small subunit ribosomal RNA", at positions 341 to 792 of the family's 1533-position model. Lineage: Bacteria; Bacillati; Bacillota; Clostridia; Eubacteriales; Oscillospiraceae. The record is from RNAcentral.
ACGGAAGGCAGCAGUGGGGGAUAUUGCACAAUGGGGGAAACCCUGAUGCAGCGACGCCGCGUGAGCGAUGAAGUAUUUCGGUAUGUAAAGCUCUGUCAUCGGGGACGAUAAUGACUGUACCCGAGAAGGAAGCUCCGGCUAACUACGUGCCAGCAGCCGCGGUAAUACGUAGGGAGCGAGCGUUAUCCGGAAUUACUGGGUGUAAAGGGAGUGUAGGCGGGACUGUAAGUCAGAUGUGAAAUAUGCCGGCUCAACUGGCAGACUGCAUUUGAAACUGCGGUUCUUGAGUGAAGUAGAGGUAAGCGGAAUUCCUAGUGUAGCGGUGAAAUGCGUAGAUAUUAGGAGGAACAUCAGUGGCGAAGGCGGCUUACUGGGCUUUAACUGACGCUGAGGCUCGAAAGCGUGGGGAGCAAACAGGAUUAGAUACCCUGGUA